GAAAAAAAAAAAAAAAAGCCCCUGUAAAGAGUCUGAGAGGCCAGCUGGGGGCUGCAGGGACACCCUGGCUCUCCUCCCACCAGGGCACACCCUGGUUGCUCUCCCUCCCUGCCCCUGGGCUGAACCCUUGCAGGUGCCCCCGCUUGCUCCUGCCAGGCGUGGGGGGCGCUCCCAACCAGGCUCUAACCUGGGCGGAUCCUGCCUUGUACCUGCUCCCGCAUCUGUGGGGUUGUAUCUUACACAGGCCCCUUGCCGCGUAGAAGGAAAAUACAACUCAAGUCUGAUUCUGUGCAGUGCAAUUAAAUCCUGCACAUAAACAUUCCCCUCCACCGUUCAUCUGGAGUGGACUAAUGAGAAAGCAGAAUGGGAUAUGAGCUUCUGAUGUUUGAAAAUUGGCUCUCCAAGGGUUUCCAGGAGUUGAUAAUAUAUGGAUAAGGAGGGGUGCCUGCAUUUCACGUGAUCUCAACUGCUGGUGGGGAGUCGCUCCCACGACUGGCCAAGGCCGGAGUCCGAGAGGACAGGGCUUGACGGGAUGAUCCCUGCCUUUUGUCAUCAACAGGAAAAGUAAUAAAUGCCACAAAGAGCCCUGUCACGUGAGCAGGGCUGGGAGAGAACGGCCUUAAAAGGAGCGAUUUAACUCCUGGAUCACGGUCCUUGUCCACGAAAAGCCAAGUUUUAUCCUCUCGC
This is a non-coding RNA of Sus scrofa (pig), 687 nucleotides long. The record is from RefSeq and is a predicted model, not a curated record. Lineage: Eukaryota; Metazoa; Chordata; Mammalia; Artiodactyla; Suidae.